ACGCUCACCUACGGGGGCAGCAGUAGGGAAUCUUCCACAAUGGGCGCAAGCCUGAUGGAGCAACACCGCGUGAGUGAAGAAGGGUUUCGGCUCGUAAAGCUCUGUUGUUGGAGAAGAACGUGCGUGAGAGUAACUGUUCACGCAGUGACGGUAUCCAACCAGAAAGUCACGGCUAACUACGUGCCAGCAGCCGCGGUAAUCUGAGGCGGGCGUGGCAAGGC
RNAcentral lists this ribosomal RNA (221 nucleotides) under uncultured bacterium. RNAcentral describes it as "partial 16S ribosomal RNA". It matches the Rfam family "Bacterial small subunit ribosomal RNA", at positions 331 to 538 of the family's 1533-position model. The record is from RNAcentral.